UGAGUGAGGUGAAUCUGGCUCUGUCACCCUGAUCACUGUGACUGCUCUGGCUGACUUUGAUGGAUCAGCAGGUGCCUUUUCGUCCCUCACCACUCCCUGUGCAUUCCUUUUAAACUUGGGUGCUCAGAAGGUGAGGAUGACCUUCCCAGACAGAAAACUGCUCUUCUAUCAAGAGUACAAUAACUUUGUGCCCUUGCUAAAACCUCCAAACAAGCUGUCAAGGAAGUGGGUCACUGGUAAACAGUCCAUGGGUCAUCUUGUUCUGGCUCCUG
RNAcentral lists this small nuclear RNA (272 nucleotides) under Peromyscus maniculatus bairdii (prairie deer mouse). Its description in RNAcentral is "7SK RNA (ENSPEMG00000003437.2)". It matches the Rfam family "7SK RNA". From Rfam's summary of the family: 7SK was discovered as an abundant small nuclear RNA in the mid-70s but a possible function has only recently been suggested. Two independent studies have found that 7SK RNA binds the CDK9/cyclin T complex (known as elongation factor P-TEFb). The record is from RNAcentral. Lineage: Eukaryota; Metazoa; Chordata; Mammalia; Rodentia; Cricetidae.